AGUGAACGCUGGUGGUAGGCCUAACACAUGCAAGUCGAACGGCAGCACAGUAAGAGCUUGCUCUUACGGGUGGCGAGUGGCGGACGGGUGAGGCAUACAUCGGAAUCUACUUUUUCGUGGGGGAUAACGUAGGGAAACUUCCGCUAAUACCGCAUACGACCUACGGCUGAAAGCAGGGGAUCUUCGCACCUUGCGCGAUUGAAUGAGCCGAUGUCGGAUUAGCUAGUUGGCGGGGUAAAGGCCCACCAAGGCGACGAUCCGUAGCUGGUCUGAGAGGAUGAUCAGCCACACUGGAACUGAGACACGGUCCAGACUCCUACGGGAGGCAGCAGUGGGGAAUAUUGGGCAAUGGGCGAAAGCCUGAUCCAGCCAUACCGCGUGGGUGAAGAAGGCCUUCGGGUUGUAAAGCCCUUUUGUUGGGAAAGAAAAGCAGCAGGUUAAUACCCCGCUGUUCUGACGGUACCCAAAGAAUAAGCACCGGCUAACUUCGUG
Molecule: ribosomal RNA, 492 nt
Filed under: uncultured bacterium
Lineage: Bacteria
Description: partial 16S ribosomal RNA
Rfam family: Bacterial small subunit ribosomal RNA
Source: RNAcentral